Molecule: long non-coding RNA, 324 nt
Organism: Dermacentor silvarum
Lineage: Eukaryota; Metazoa; Arthropoda; Arachnida; Ixodida; Ixodidae
Exons: 3
Source: RefSeq, a predicted model, not a curated record
AGAAAAACGCCCUCCUAUCUGUUCAGUCGGUAGAUAACAAGACUUGGCCAGUGGCCUUUCUUGUGUUCGCAGAAAUUCAACAAUUCCGCCAUAUUGUCAUGCUUUCUUCCCAGGUAGCGGAGGAUAGCCAAGCUCUGGGCCAACCUGACGUCGUCGUCGACGUAGUACGGCAGGUUGGGGAAUGAAAGGCCCAGCGUGGACCUCUCCUUGUGCCACUUGUCGUACUCGGGAGGGGGGCCGACCUUGAACUGUUUGUCUUCAAACUGGACUCCCUUGUAGACGAGAAGGUUGCGGAUGGGUUGUGCCAGGGACCUCACAUCCCAG